This 346-nucleotide non-coding RNA is filed under the name Pongo abelii (Sumatran orangutan). The record is from RNAcentral. Lineage: Eukaryota; Metazoa; Chordata; Mammalia; Primates; Hominidae.
GGGGCGGGGGCGGUGGUGGUAAGGCUUCAAGGUGCGGCUAUGGGGGGGCUGCUUGUCCUCUCCUUUCCUGCUAGUUCUCCCGCAAUGGUAGCCCAAGUGUCCCUGCAGUUUGUGAGUGAGAAUGCUCAGAAGCUGUUCCAGGGAACAGACAGGCCAAGCUUAUAUCACAGAUCUAUCAUCAUCAUCAUCAUCAAAAAAAAAAAAAAAAAAAUCAGGCUAAGCUCUGUGGCUCACGCCUGUAAUCCCAGCACUUUGGGAGGCCGAGGCAGAUGGAUCCCCUGAGGUCAAGAGUUCCAGACCAGCCUGGCCAACAUGGCAAAACCCCCUCUCUACUAAAAAUACAAAA